Molecule: unclassified non-coding RNA, 349 nt
Filed under: Hevea brasiliensis (rubber tree)
Lineage: Eukaryota; Viridiplantae; Streptophyta; Magnoliopsida; Malpighiales; Euphorbiaceae
Source: RNAcentral
ACUUGAUGCUGUAAUGGAUAGUUUACCAGAGGAAAAGCCACGCCUUGUCUGUGGGCUUGGACUACCAGAGGAGGUGUUGCAGGGAGUUGCGGCUGGCAUUGAUCUUUUUGACUCAUCGUAUAUUUAUAAUCUUACACUUGGAGGCUUUGCACUUACCUUUCCUCUGGAUAGGAUUGAAACAAAUGCAUCUGGUUUUAAGUCCACUGAUAUGGGAAUUGACCAAACAAAGAUUAAUCUGAAAGCAACAGUUUACAGGAAAGACACAUCACCAAUUGUUGCAAGCUGUACCUGCUAUACUUGCCAGAAUCAUACUAAAGCUUACAUCAAUCACCUACUCAAUGUCCACGAG